This 778-nucleotide ribosomal RNA is filed under the name uncultured bacterium. RNAcentral describes it as "bacterial SSU rRNA". It matches the Rfam family "Bacterial small subunit ribosomal RNA", at positions 28 to 808 of the family's 1533-position model. The record is from RNAcentral.
GAUGAACGCUGGCGGCGUGCUUAACACAUGCAAGUCGAGCGAAGCAGUUAAGAAGAUUCUUCGGAUGAUUCUUAAUUGACUGAGCGGCGGACGGGUGAGUAACGCGUGGGUGACCUGCCCCAUACCGGGGGAUAACAGCUGGAAACGGCUGCUAAUACCGCAUAAGCGCACAGAGCUGCAUGGCUCGGUGUGAAAAACCCCGGUGGUAUGGGAUGGGCCCGCGUCUGAUUAGGCAGUUGGCGGGGUAACGGCCCACCAAACCGACGAUCAGUAGCCGGCCUGAGAGGGCGACCGGCCACAUUGGGACUGAGACACGGCCCAAACUCCUACGGGAGGCAGCAGUGGGGAAUAUUGCACAAUGGGGGAAACCCUGAUGCAGCGACGCCGCGUGAGCGAAGAAGUAUUUCGGUAUGUAAAGCUCUAUCAGCAGGGAAGAUAAUGACGGUACCUGACUAAGAAGCCCCGGCUAACUACGUGCCAGCAGCCGCGGUAAUACGUAGGGGGCAAGCGUUAUCCGGAUUUACUGGGUGUAAGGGGAGCGUAGACGGCAAGGCAAGUCUGAUGUGAAAACCCAGGGCUUAACCCUGGGACUGCAUUGGAAACUGUCUGGCUCGAGUGCCGGAGAGGUAAGCGGAAUUCCUAGUGUAGCGGUGAAAUGCGUAGAUAUUAGGAAGAACACCAGUGGCGAAGGCGGCUUACUGGACGGUAACUGACGUUGAGGCUCGAAAGCGUGGGGAGCAAACAGGAUUAGAUACCCUGGUAGUCCACGCCGUAAACG